AAUUAUCCACGCGCCGUGGCAGAAUGUGAGAUAAAGGCAAUGAUUUCUUAUCCCAAGGACACGGUCAAGCAGCCCUUGCCAAGCCUACAGAGAACUGCUGGCCUGAAGGUGAACAGGAGUAUUUCCAUGGAGAUGUUUUCCACAGAAACAGGAGUAGUGCCCCCAUGGCCAGGAAGCAGAACAGAGAUGUUUCACAGGAGAUGAAGCCCAUCCAGAGAAUCUAGCUGGAAAGAAACUGUAGCUCUGGAGUCUCACAUCUCCAUUUGAAGCCCAUCACAGGAGCAGGAGAGAUGUUUGUUAUCUUUGCCUGGUGGCGCCAGCAGUUGAGCAAGAGGAGUGGGAGGCUGGCUGCUGGUUCCUGUACCCGUGCCAUCAGGAGCUCCCACCUCAUCCCGCUGGGUGGGGGACUCAGGCUCGGUAGCAUUCCCGCCAUGAGUGAAAUGGAAAAACCCUUCUGGGCUGCUCUGCCUGCAGAGAUGCUGUGAAAGCUCUGUGAGUCACUUGGGGAAGCCCAGGGUGCAGCCAGGCUCCAGAGAAAGUCCAGAUGCACUUCAUCCCAUCCCUGAGAGUCACUGGAACACAGUUUGGUGUGGGGGUAGGUAUUCUGAGAGUGUUUGCCCACAACACCUCAGGGUGUCAACCACACAUGGCCCA
RNAcentral lists this long non-coding RNA (654 nucleotides) under Junco hyemalis (dark-eyed junco). Its description in RNAcentral is "lncRNA (ENSJHYG00000000988.1)". Lineage: Eukaryota; Metazoa; Chordata; Aves; Passeriformes; Passerellidae. The record is from RNAcentral.